UCGAUGUUGGGCGCCGCGGGCGCGGUAAGACGAGGGGGCCAAGGGUUGGGCGGAGACGUUGGGCGUAAAGGGGGGGGAGGGGGCUCUGUAAGGCAGGAGUGAAAGGCCCGAGCUUAACUUGGGAAGUGCUGUUGAUACUGAAGAGCUUGAAUGUGGGAGAGGAUCGUGGAAUUCCGGGUGUAGUGGUGAAAUACGUAGAUAUCAGGAGGAACACCGGUGGCGAAGGCGGCGAUCUGGCCCAACAUUGACACUGAGACCCAAAAGCGUGGGGAUCAAACAGGAUUAGAUACCCGGGUAGUC
This 300-nucleotide ribosomal RNA is filed under the name uncultured Streptomyces sp. RNAcentral's name for it is "bacterial SSU rRNA". It matches the Rfam family "Bacterial small subunit ribosomal RNA", at positions 497 to 795 of the family's 1533-position model. The record is from RNAcentral. Lineage: Bacteria; Bacillati; Actinomycetota; Actinomycetes; Kitasatosporales; Streptomycetaceae.